AUUGAACGCUGGCGGCAGGCCUAACACAUGCAAGUCGAACGCUCCGCAAGGAGAGUGGCAGACGGGUGAGUAACGCGUGGGAAUCUACCUAGUUCUACGGAACAACACAGGGAAACUUGUGCUAAUACCGUAUACGCCCUACGGGGAAAGAUUUAUCGCCAUUAGAGCGGCCCGCGUUAGAUUAGCUAGUUGGUGAGGUA
This 200-nucleotide ribosomal RNA is filed under the name uncultured bacterium. RNAcentral's name for it is "partial 16S ribosomal RNA". It matches the Rfam family "Bacterial small subunit ribosomal RNA", at positions 30 to 259 of the family's 1533-position model. The record is from RNAcentral.